UCCUACGGGAGGCAGCAGUAAGGAAUAUUGGUCAAUGGGCGGAAGCCUGAACCAGCCAUGCCGCGUGCAGGAUGACUGCCCUAUGGGUUGUAAACUGCUUUUGUCCAGGAAUAAACCUAGAUACGUGUAUCUAGCUGAAUUACUGAAGAAUAGAUCCGAUUUGGGA
Molecule: ribosomal RNA, 166 nt
Filed under: Sphingobacterium sp. MB153
Lineage: Bacteria; Pseudomonadati; Bacteroidota; Sphingobacteriia; Sphingobacteriales; Sphingobacteriaceae
Description: partial 16S ribosomal RNA
Rfam family: Bacterial small subunit ribosomal RNA
Source: RNAcentral